RNAcentral lists this unclassified non-coding RNA (841 nucleotides) under Hevea brasiliensis (rubber tree). The record is from RNAcentral. Lineage: Eukaryota; Viridiplantae; Streptophyta; Magnoliopsida; Malpighiales; Euphorbiaceae.
AAAGGAGAAGAAAAUCUCUCCCCCGCCAUUUACGCAUUCUGCCAUUUCCUCCAUUAAAAUCCAAAAUAAGCAGCUUUCCCAUUUAGAUCCGGCAUAGUUGAACAACCAAACAGACUUCUUCUUCUUCUUCACACACCAUAGAUGAAAACCAAAACGAAGCCCUCCAAGAGAAAGCUAGGGUUACCUGCUGUCCUCCUCCUAUGCUUUUUCUUCUUCCUCGCCGGAUUCUACGCUUCCACUCUUCUCUCUCAGGAUGUGCCUAUUAUUAGACCGAGGUUGAGAAUGCUUCAAGUGGCUGAGGGAGACCUUGACUUGAUGCCGCAUGGCGUGACUGGAGAAUCUUUUGUUGAAUCCAUUCCAUUUCAGGUUUUGAGCUGGAAACCAAGAGCUGUUUAUUUUCCAAACUUUGCAACUCCAGAGCAAUGCAACAGUAUAAUUGAAAUGGCAAAGUCUCGCCUAAAACCAUCUUCCCUGGCUCUGCGGAAAGGAGAAACAGAUGAGAGUACUCAGGGGACCAGAACAAGCUCAGGUACAUUUAUUAGUGCAUCAGAAGAUAAAACUGGGGUCCUGGACUUCAUUGAGCAGAAAAUUGCAAGAGCUACAAUGAUCCCAAGGUCGCAUGGAGAGGCAUUCAAUGUCUUGCGCUACGAAAUUGGACAGAAAUAUGAUUCACAUUAUGAUUCAUUUAACCCAGCUGAAUAUGGUCCGCAGACAAGCCAAAGGGUUGCUUCUUUCUUGUUGUAUUUAUCUGAUGUAGAAGAAGGUGGAGAAACCAUGUUCCCUUUUGAGAAUGGCUUACAAAUAGGUUCAGUCUAUGAUUACAAAAAAUGUGUUGGUUUAA